Molecule: ribosomal RNA, 1610 nt
Filed under: gut metagenome
Description: bacterial LSU rRNA
Rfam family: Bacterial large subunit ribosomal RNA
Source: RNAcentral
AUCCGGGAGGACCAUCUCCCAAGGCUGAACACUUGCAGCUACCGAUAGCGUAUAGUACCGUGAGGGAAAGGUGAAAAGAACCCCGGGAGGGGAGUGAAACAGAAACUGAAACCGUGGACCUACAAGCGGUCGGAGCCUUGCGAAAGCGGGGUGACGGCGUGCCUUUUGUAGAAUGAGCCUGCGAGUUGCGCUGCGUGGCGAGGUUAAGGGAUGGCAGUCCCGGAGCCGGAGGGAAACCGAGUCCGAACAGGGCGUUCCAGUCGCGCGGCGCAGACCCGAAGCCAAGUGAUCUAUCCAUGUCCAGGCUGAAGUCGGGGUAAGACCCGAUGGAGGGCCGAACCUAAAUCCGCUGAAAAGGGUUGGGAUGAGGUGUGGAUCGGAGUGAAAGGCUAAACAAACUUGGAGAUAGCUGGUACUCCCUGAAAUAGCUUUAGGGCUAGCCUUGCGUGGAUCGUGCAGGAGGUAGAGCGCUGAAUGAGUGCGGGCCCGUCACUGGGUACCAAGUUCAAUCAAACUCCGAAUGCCUGCACGCAAUGCGCGGGAGUCAGACGGCGACUGAUAAGGGCCGUCGUCGAGAGGGGAAGAGCCCGGACCGACAGCUAAGGUCCCUAACAUACGCUGAGUGGGAAAGGAAGUGAUGUUGCGCAGACAGCCAGGAGGUUGGCUCAGAAGCAGCCAUGCCUUCAAAGAGUGCGUAAUAGCUCACUGGUCGAGUAGCAACGCGUCGACAAUGUAGCGGGGCUAAGCGUAUGACCGAAGCUUCGGCGCGGGAGGAUUUGUCCUCCGUGCGGGUAAGGGAGCAUCGCAUGCACGGGCGAAGGGGCGCCGGAAGGCGUCCUGGACGGGAUGCGAGUGAGGAUGCAGGCAUGAGUAACGGAAAGACGGGUGGGAUCCCCGUCCGCCGGAAGCCUAAGGUUUCCUGGGUAAAGGUAAUCUGCCCGAGGGUUAGUCGGCCCCUAAGGAGAGGACGAAGGUCGUAUCCGAUGGGAAACGGGUCAACAUUCCCGUACCCUCUGCGGUUUCGAUGGGACGAAGCACACGGCAAGCGGCGGCGGAGCGACGGUUGUUCUCCGCCCAAGCGGAUGCGAGGGCGUCUGGAGCGCGCGAGGCAAAUCCCGCGCGCCAGCCCGAGCGGCGACGGCCACGGCCCCCACGGGGGCCCGAAGCGCCGGGCGCCGGGUGCCUGGAAACAGUCCCUAAGGCCAGGCCGCGGAGGACCGUACCGCAAACCGACACAGGUGGGCGAGCUGAGAAUGCGAAGGCGCACGGAAGAAUUCGCGUAAAGGAACUCGGCAAAAUGCAUGCGUAACCUAGGGAGAAGCAUGGCCCCCGCGGGAGCGGGGGCUGCAGAGAAAUGGCCCAAGCGACUGUUGACCAAAAUCACGGGUCCGUGCGAACCAGCAAUGGGAUGUAUGCGGACUGACCCCUGCCCGGUGCCGGAAGGUUAAGGGGAGGGGUUAGGCCCAAGCCGAAGCUCCGAGCCGAAGCCCCGGUAAACGGCGGCCGUAACCAUAACGGUCCUAAGGUAGCGAACUUCCCUGUCGAGUAGGUCGCGCCCCGCACGAACGCUGUCACGCGUGGGGCGCUGUUUCUACGCGACGUCCGAGGAG